RNAcentral lists this long non-coding RNA (616 nucleotides) under Salmo salar (Atlantic salmon). Its description in RNAcentral is "lncRNA (ENSSSAG00000087855.1)". The record is from RNAcentral. Lineage: Eukaryota; Metazoa; Chordata; Actinopteri; Salmoniformes; Salmonidae.
GUGAGCUCCAGAGACUUGAAGGAGACUGAGGUGAGGUACAGUAAUAAGGAGUAGCCCUCCCUCCCUCCCUCUGAUUAGAGACCCCAGACCAGGAUGUGAGCUCCAGAGACUUGAAGGAGACUGAGGUGAGGUACAGUAAUAAGGAGAAGCCCUCCCUCCCUCUGAUUAGAGACCCCAGACCAGGAUGUGAGCUCCAGAGACUUGAAGGAGACUGAGGUGAGGUACAGUAAUAAGGAGAUGCCCUCCCUCCCUCUGAUUAGAGACCCCAGACCAGGAUGUGAGCUCCAGAGACUUGAAGGAGACUGAGGUGAGGUACAGUAAUAAGGAGUAGCCCUCCCUCCCUCUGAUUAGAGACCCCAGACCAGGAUGUGAGCUCCAGAGACUUGAAGGAGACUGAGGUGAGGUACAGUAAUAAGGAGUAGCCCUCCCUCCCUCCCUCUGAUUAGAGACCCCAGACCAGGAUGUGAGCUCCAGAGACUUGAAGGAGACUGAGGUGAGGUACAGUAAUAAGGAGUAGCCCUCCCUCCCUCCCUCUGAUUAGAGACCCCAGACCAGGAUGUGAGCUCCAGAGACUUGAAGGAGACUGAGGUGAGGUACAGUAAUAAGGAGUAGCCCU